CACAGGAUCUGUGUAAGACCAGAGUGAGGCCAGGAGUCCCAGCCUGAGGUCCUUAAUCCCAGUUUGAGGCAGUUAGUGGGCCACUCCAGGUCAGUAUAAACCCAGCACUAAGCCCCAUAUCCCCACUGAAGCCAGUCCCCAAAGUAUUGACCAGUGGGAGCCCAGACAUAGCUAAACCCUAUCAAAGCUCAAAGCAGACCCCCCGGGGAAGGCAGUCCACGAUGUACCUGACCUGAUCAAGUCCAAAGUGAGACCAAAAGACCCUGCCUAAGCCUGAGAUUAGUCUUUGAGCCAUCAGCAGUCUCCAGGGGGUGACUGAAUCAGCAGUGGAAGGUGACUUUCUAUAAGUCAUCAUCCUACCUUAGAAGAACUGAAAUUUACAGAAAAACAGAAAUAAAGCUACUUUCCGCAACAGAGGACCUGGUUUCAAAUCCUGUUUCUGAUGAUUCCUGCUUACCUGGCUUUAGAUCCUACCAGAAGAUAAACAUAUUGGACAAGACUUUGAAAAAUAAGCUGUCCAAUAAAGAAGAUUUUCCAUCUACCUCCUUUAAAUCUGAACUUGGGACACUUACCGUGAAGCCAAGAACCAGAGUUCUCCUUAUUCUGACCCCAAGUGGGUCAGGUGAACUAAACCUGAUCUGCUUAACUUUGGGGGGAAGGAUACUAGCUAGUUAGGGACCCCGUCUCCCUCCUUCCUUCCUGAUCACUAAAACAUAACCCUCCAUCUGCCCUGUACCCUUUUUUGUUUCCUUCCAAAAAAAUUUUUGUUAAAAAAAGAUACAAGAAUUGACUUAAUAUUAGUAGAGGGCAACUUGAGAGGGGUGGGGAGAAGUGACUUUCUCUCCUGAAGAAGAAGAGAAAUUAUCCCCAUAAGUCUCUUCAAUAGAUCCUUCAUAGAACCCAGCAGUCAAAGCUGAAGGCAGCCUUGGGGGGGGGGGAGCCAUCGGUCCCUUUUUACCCUUUUCCCCUUAUCAUAAAUCUUCCCCAUGUUACCAUCUAUAACAUUAUCCAAAAAAAGGGAGAUUAAAAUGGUUUGGGACAUAGUGCUACAUAACAAAGGAAUUAAUUACUAAAAGGAGGAAGUCAGAACUCAAACAAAACUGAAUUUAAGGUAAAUAUAGAUUAUUUUUUUCUCUUUUUCUUGGUCUCUGACCAUUUCUGCCUCUUAUCUCAAUAUCUGUGUCUUUGUGUCUUUAUCUCUUUAACUCCUUUCCUUUCUCUCUUUUUGUCUCUAUUUCUCUGUCUUUCUCUGUGUCUGUAUUUCUCUCUCUGCAUUGAUUGAUUGAGAGAAUAGACUUUCUCCUGGCAAGAAUUUUGCUUCCUGCUGACAAUGGUUGCCAAGCCCCUAACACUAUUAUCUGUCUGAUUCUAUCAAAUUCAAUAUUUCUCAUUCCCUUGCCAUAGUAUCAGGGUGCUAGGAACAUGCAGGAAUAAUUAGAUUAAGACAAAGAAAACUAGAGAUUAUCUUCACCUGCAUCUAUUUCACAUAAACCUAUAAAAUAAUUUGUGGGAAAUAUCAAAGAAUAUUUCCUCCAAUGACAAAAAUAGAAAUCUAUUCAUCCACUGAAUGCUCUCCCUAACUCUUGACCAUUCUUUAAUCUUCCAAAAAGAGUCCAUCCAAUGUCCCGGGAGUUUUGUUUUUUUUUUCCCAACAUCUCUCAGUAUUGACCAGAUA
This is a long non-coding RNA of Monodelphis domestica (gray short-tailed opossum), 1675 nucleotides long. The record is from Ensembl. Lineage: Eukaryota; Metazoa; Chordata; Mammalia; Didelphimorphia; Didelphidae.